AAUUUGAGGCCAAGGUAAGUCAUCUGACUCACGUUGUGCAUAGGCAGCCCUAAGGUGUAUUAGUUUACUAAUCGGGUCUUAGGGGGUAGAACUUGCUGAAACGUUGUCUCAGUAGUUAUUGAAUAACCAUUUCAGGACCUGGAUGAGGAGUCUAAGGAGUAUGAAUCUGAUGAGGAGAUCCCUGUUGAGGAACCUGAAGAGGAGUACGUGGAGGAGGACCCCGAGGAUAACCCCGAGUAUGAUCUGGAUGAGGAUUGGGAUCCCGUCCUGUCUUGUCAAACCUUGUGUGCAUGUGAAUAGAUGUUAGACCUGAAGUGUAUAUAUAUACAUAAGGAUGUGGUUUUCAGGUUCAGGUUUCUAGUCCUACUUGUAUAUCCCAUUGCUUUAUUGUCUGGGGAUUGUUAUAACUACUUCCGCAUGUGCUAUUAAAAAUGACAGGGUCGGCGAUAUGUAGUCCUGAGGAUAUCGCAUAAUAAAAUCGACCAAGCUUGAAGGAUGGUCACGUGACCGAGAGUCGGGGCGUGACAAUGGGUGUCCUAAGAUAAUAUGUUAUUGACAAGUUAAAAGCUUUAUCAAAUCUGGCAGUGAUGCAAAGUGGUCAUUUAUAAA
Molecule: long non-coding RNA, 609 nt
Filed under: Eucalyptus grandis
Lineage: Eukaryota; Viridiplantae; Streptophyta; Magnoliopsida; Myrtales; Myrtaceae
Description: long non-coding RNA (EGRA_LNC005505)
Source: RNAcentral